AGUUCAGUCUUCCCAGGCCCACCACUUUCAUCGAGUGAGCAUUCGUCUUCUGGUUACGGGGCCAUAGCUCAGCUGGGAGAGCGCGUGCUUUGCAAGCAUGAGGUCGUCGGUUCGAUCCCGUCUGGCUCCACCAGAUGGUUUGAUCACCUGCGACUGACCGUCGUCCGCGAAACAUCACUUCGCAUUCACUAGUCUGGAUAGACAGUGAACUGCGUGUUUUCUGACAUCGUAAAGAGGAGAUCGAUCCGAGUUGGGUCGUGCAGCAGAUUGUUGCGCGGAUCCUUCAUUAUCUCCGGAUCAUUUUCGGCGCUCGCUUUCAGCCGUGAGGCUGAACGCGAGUUGUAAAAUGAUCCUUUUAGCGAAGCUUGACCGCCUCGCUAUCGGAACGAUCUUACGAAGCAAGCUGGUCUUUCUAGUCAAUGUCCGGCUGUGAGAAUAGCGCUCGUCGAGGGCGCGUGCCGCAAGGCGGUUCUUACAGGCAGCAUUCUGCCGAGUGUGUGGACAUUGAUAAUGAGAGCAAUCAAGUGCCUUAAGGGUGUUCGGUGGAUGCCUUGGCGCUGAGAGGCGAUGAAGGACGUGCUACGCUGCGAUAAGCCGUGGGGAGCUGCGAAGAAGCUUUGAUCCGCGGAUUUCCGAAGG
Molecule: unclassified non-coding RNA, 639 nt
Filed under: uncultured Bradyrhizobium sp.
Lineage: Bacteria; Pseudomonadati; Pseudomonadota; Alphaproteobacteria; Hyphomicrobiales; Nitrobacteraceae
Description: partial 16S-23S ribosomal RNA intergenic spacer
Rfam family: Bacterial large subunit ribosomal RNA (bases 519-639)
Source: RNAcentral